CUGGUAUUGAUUGGUGCUUGCAUCAUGAUUUACAUUUGAGUGAGUGGCGAACUGGUGAGUAACACGUGGGAAACCUGCCCAGAAGCGGGGGAUAACACCUGGAAACAGAUGCUAAUACCGCAUAACAACUUGGACCGCAUGGUCCGAGCUUGAAAGAUGGCUUCGGCUAUCACUUUUGGAUGGUCCCGCGGCGUAUUAGCUAGAUGGUGGGGUAACGGCUCACCAUGGCAAUGAUACGUAGCCGACCUGAGAGGGUAAUCGGCCACAUUGGGACUGAGACACGGCCCAAACUCCUACGGGAGGCAGCAGUAGGGAAUCUUCCACAAUGGACGAAAGUCUGAUGGAGCAACGCCGCGUGAGUGAAGAAGGGUUUCGGCUCGUAAAACUCUGUUGUUAAAGAAGAACAUAUCUGAGAGUAACUGUUCAGGUAUUGACGGUAUUUAACCAGAAAGCCACGGCUAACUACGUGCCAGCAGCCGCGGUAAUACGUAGGUGGCAAGCGUUGUCCGGAUUUAUUGGGCGUAAAGCGAGCGCAGGCGGUUUUUUAAGUCUGAUGUGAAAGCCUUCGGCUCAACCGAAGAAGUGCAUCGGAAACUGGGAAACUUGAGUGCAGAAGAGGACAGUGGAACUCCAUGUGUAGCGGUGAAAUGCGUAGAUAUAUGGAAGAACACCAGUGGCGAAGGCGGCUGUCUGGUCUGUAACUGACGCUGAGGCUCGAAAGUAUGGGUAGCAAACAGGAUUAGAUACCCUGGUAGUCCAUACCGUAAACGAUGAAUGCUAAGUGUUGGAGGGUUUCCGCCCUUCAGUGCUGCAGCUAACGCAUUAAGCAUUCCGCCUGGGGAGUACGGCCGCAAGGCUGAAACUCAAAGGAAUUGACGGGGGCCCGCACAAGCGGUGGAGCAUGUGGUUUAAUUCGAAGCUACGCGAAGAACCUUACCAGGUCUUGACAUACUAUGCAAAUCUAAGAGAUUAGACGUUCCCUUCGGGGACAUGGAUACAGGUGGUGCAUGGUUGUCGUCAGCUCGUGUCGUGAGAUGUUGGGUUAAGUCCCGCAACGAGCGCAACCCUUAUUAUCAGUUGCCAGCAUUAAGUUGGGCACUCUGGUGAGACUGCCGGUGACAAACCGGAGGAAGGUGGGGAUGACGUCAAAUCAUCAUGCCCCUUAUGACCUGGGCUACACACGUGCUACAAUGGAUGGUACAACGAGUUGCGAACUCGCGAGAGUAAGCUAAUCUCUUAAAGCCAUUCUCAGUUCGGAUUGUAGGCUGCAACUCGCCUACAUGAAGUCGGAAUCGCUAGUAAUCGCGGAUCAGCAUGCCGCGGUGAAUACGUUCCCGGGCCUUGUACACACCG
Molecule: ribosomal RNA, 1353 nt
Filed under: Lactiplantibacillus plantarum
Lineage: Bacteria; Bacillati; Bacillota; Bacilli; Lactobacillales; Lactobacillaceae
Description: bacterial SSU rRNA
Rfam family: Bacterial small subunit ribosomal RNA
Source: RNAcentral